RNAcentral lists this ribosomal RNA (1547 nucleotides) under human gut metagenome. RNAcentral describes it as "bacterial LSU rRNA". It matches the Rfam family "Bacterial large subunit ribosomal RNA", at positions 1369 to 2925 of the family's 2925-position model. The record is from RNAcentral.
UCCGCUGAGGGUUAGUCGGGACCUAAGCCGAGGCCGAAAGGCGUAGGCGAUGGACAAUCGGUUGAUAUUCCGAUACCACUACUGAUCGUUAUUAUCGAUGGUGUGACGGAGAAGGAUAGAGUGUGCUAGCUAUUGGAUGCUAGUCUAAGCGUUUAGGGAGUUAGGAAAGGCAAAUCCGUCCUAACAAUUCUGAGGCGUGAUGGGGAAGGUUCUACGGAACCGAAGUACUUGAUUCCAUGCUUCCAAGAAAAGCAUCUAGAGAGAGAUGUAGUGCCCGUACCGCAAACCGACACAGGUAGAUGAGGAGAGAAUCCUAAGGCCGGCGGAAGAAUCACAGUUAAGGAACUAGGCAAAUUGACCCCGUAACUUAGGGAGAAGGGGUGCCUGUGAGAGCAGGCCGCAGAGAAUAGGCCCAAGCAACUGUUUAGCAAAAACACAGGUCUCUGCUAAAGCGAAAGCUGAUGUAUAGGGGCUGACGCCUGCCCGGUGCUGGAAGGUUAAGGGGAACACUUAGCGCAAGCGAAGGUGUGAACUUAAGCCCCAGUAAACGGCGGCCGUAACUAUAACGGUCCUAAGGUAGCGAAAUUCCUUGUCAGGUAAGUUCUGACCCGCACGAAUGGCGUAAUGACUUGGGCACUGUCUCAACUGUGAAUCCGGCGAAGUUGUAGUGCGAGUGAAGAUGCUCGCUACCCGCGAUUGGACGGAAAGACCCCGUAGAGCUUUACUGUAGCUUAGCAUUGAAUUUCGGUAUUGUCUGUACAGGAUAGGUGGGAGACUGGGAAAUCAGGGCGUCAGCCUUGAUGGAGUCGUCCUUGGGAUACCACCCUGACAGUACUGAGGUUCUAACUGGAUGCCAUGAAUCUGGUGACAGGACAUUGUUAGGUGGGCAGUUUGACUGGGGCGGUCGCCUCCUAAAAAGUAACGGAGGCGCCCAAAGGUUCCCUCAGAACGGUCGGAAAUCGUUCGAAGAGUGCAAAGGCAGAAGGGAGCCUGACUGCGACACCCACAAGUGGAGCAGGGACGAAAGUCGGGCUUAGUGAUCCGGUGGUACCUCGUGGGAGGGCCAUCGCUCAACGGAUAAAAGCUACCUCGGGGAUAACAGGCUGAUCUCCCCCAAGAGUCCACAUCGACGGGGAGGUUUGGCACCUCGAUGUCGGCUCGUCGCAUCCUGGGGCUGAAGUAGGUCCCAAGGGUUGGGCUGUUCGCCCAUUAAAGCGGCACGCGAGCUGGGUUCAGAACGUCGUGAGACAGUUCGGUCCCUAUCCGUCGCGGGCGUAGGAAAUUUGAGAGGAGCUGUCCUUAGUACGAGAGGACCGGGAUGGACUGACCUCUGGUGCACCAGUUGUUCCGCCAGGAGCACAGCUGGGUAGCUAAGUCGGGAAGGGAUAAACGCUGAAAGCAUCUAAGCGUGAAGCCCACCUCAAGAUGAGAUUUCCCAUAGCAUAAGCUAGUAAGACCCCUUGAAGAACACGAGGUUGAUAGGUCAGAGGUGUAAGUGCAGUAAUGUAUGUAGCUGACUGAUACUAAUAGGUCGAGGGCUUGACCAA